CUAGGAUUAGAUACCCUAUUAUUUAAAAUGUAAUUUUAAAACUAAAGUAUUAAUAGAUAUGGUCUUUAAACUUAAAAAAUUUGGCGGUAUUUUAGUCUGUUCAGAGGAACCUGUAUUAUAAUCGAUAAUCCACGUUGGACCUUACUUUAAUUUAUAAAUUAGUUUAUAUACCGUCGUUAUAAAAAAUUUUAUAAGAAUAAUAAUUUUUAAUUAAUUUUAUAUAAAUUUUAUAUCAGAUCAAGGUGUAGCUUAUAUUAAAGUAAAUUAUGGGUUACAAUAAAAUUAUUUAUAUGGAUAUAAAAAUGAAAAAUUUAUUGAAAGAGGAUUUGAAAGUAAAAUUAAAAAGAUUUUUAAUUUGAUUUUAGCUCUAAAAUAUGUACAUAUCGCCCGUCACUCUUAUUAUUAAAAUAAGAUAAGUCGUAACAUA
Molecule: ribosomal RNA, 427 nt
Filed under: Melaloncha torquata
Lineage: Eukaryota; Metazoa; Arthropoda; Insecta; Diptera; Phoridae
Description: partial 12S small subunit ribosomal RNA
Source: RNAcentral